GAGAUUAGUAUUUCUUUCAGCAUAUUUUUCGAAUGCCAACAUCACCUCCUUAGUCAUCCAUUUUUUCCCAUUUUGAAUAAUCUCUUCGUCAGGAACAUCACACCUGUAUGCAUAGCCAACACAAAAUCGCAUUUUCUGUUCAAGUAGUAGAACAAGUAGAAACCAGAAUAUGAUGUCAUCAUGUUCAACGAUUGAUAAGCUUUUGGGUUUUGGCCCCAACACAUAUUAAGAAGCACAUAACAUUGAAAGGAAAGUAAAUUAACUAGAUAUAUGUGUGGCGAACACCUAAAUGUGUUUAUAAGGUUGGUAUAUGCACUGGUUGCUAAGAAAUUGUGCGCCUGUCAUGGCCCGUGAUCCCUCUCAUUAUCUAAAAGAAUGAAUAUUGGGGAAAAAACUAUGGUGCAUGUAGAGGAACCAAUAAACAUACAUGAAUAUUAUCAAUAUCUUCUGCUAUUUUGCUAAACAAGAAACAUAGAUGAUAGAUACUUCUUUCUGGGACGCAGAGUUUCUGCACCCGAGCACAAAUGAGCUCGGGUGAACAGUAAAAUCAAAAGAAAAUCGAAAAAAAUUCGAAAAAUUACAAUUUUUUUGGGAGAAACAUUGAGAAAAGUUUUAAGUGCUUGCAAAAAAUCUUUAUGAAAUCACAUUUCUAGAAGGCAUGGCAAAAAAAAAAAAUCGGUACUCUGAAAAUGCUACUUUCAAAAGCAUUUUGGAGCACUGAAUUUGUUUUUUUGCCACGCCUUACAGGAAUGUGAUUUCAUGACGAAUUUUUGCAAGCACUUAGAACUUUUGUCAAUGUUUCUCCCAAAAAAAAUUGGAAUUUUUUGAUAUUUUUUCGAUUUUACUGUUCACCGAGCUCAAAUGAGCUCGGGAGCAGAAAGGCAUUUUCGCUUCUUUAUGCAAACACAAAGAUGCUAUAAUAGUAACAUGUAGCAUACAAGGGUGAUUGGAUAAUUUAUAACCCUGCAUAUUAUGAGGGGCCAAGGGGAUAAUUACUAGCAACGAUCAACAGGCAACCUCGGCAGUCGACCAGUUGCCAGUCAGAUCCAGGAUCACGCAGUUUGAGCUUCCAAUAACUCACUUAAAACAGCUUUAGUGGCAUGAAUCUGCAGUUCCUGUGCUUCGGAAAUAAGUGAAAUUUCUUAAAGAGAACCUCAUUUUCCAUCUGCAUGACUAUACAAGAUACAGUCCCUCAUUAUAAACCAAGGAAUAUAUAAACUCAGAUCCAUACUCAUAAAUUUUCAAUGACACUGCUUAGAGAAAAAGUAAAUCAAUGCCAGAUACCUGCAAGAGAGAGGAUAGUAGAUGGUUUACCUUGGUUGUCGACGUAGCAAAUACUGCCGCGAUGGUUCAUUCCUCAAAGCUGGUUCUGUUGCCUGAAGGGACUGGGUUUCUGAAUCAGCUGGAGAAGACGGUCACCCUACGGGAGGCCUCUUACAAAAGUAGGAAGGUCGAGCAGUCAUAUCAGCAUGCUCAGCAGCUGACAUAUUGUC
This 1493-nucleotide long non-coding RNA is filed under the name Triticum aestivum (bread wheat). RNAcentral describes it as "long non-coding RNA (TAES_LNC020498)". The record is from RNAcentral. Lineage: Eukaryota; Viridiplantae; Streptophyta; Magnoliopsida; Poales; Poaceae.